Molecule: small nuclear RNA, 107 nt
Filed under: Colobus angolensis palliatus
Lineage: Eukaryota; Metazoa; Chordata; Mammalia; Primates; Cercopithecidae
Source: RNAcentral
GUGCUCACUUCAGCAGCACAUGUACUAAAAUUGGAACAAUAUAGAGAAUAUUAGCAUGGCCCUUGUGCAAGGAUGACACACAAAUUUAUGAAGUGUUACAUAUUUUU